AGCUAGUUGACGAGUCCCAAAUAGGACGAAAUGCACAUCUUGGAU
Molecule: non-coding RNA, 45 nt
Filed under: Trichobilharzia regenti
Lineage: Eukaryota; Metazoa; Platyhelminthes; Trematoda; Strigeidida; Schistosomatidae
Source: RNAcentral